GGACCCGCACAAGUAGUGGAGCAUGUGGUUUAAUUCGAAGAUACGCGCAGAACCUUACCAACACUUGACAUGUUCGUCGCGACUCUAAGAGAUUAGAGUUUUCGGUUCGGCCGGACGAAACACAGGUGCUGCAUGGCUGUCGUCAGCUCGUGUCGUGAGAUGUUGGGUUAAGUCCCGCAACGAGCGCAACCCUCACUUUUAGUUGCCAUCAUUUAGUUGGGCACUCUGAAAGAACUGCCAGUGAUAAGCUGGAGGAAGGUGGGGAUGACGUCAAGUCCUCAUGGCCCUUACGUGUUGGGCUACACACGUGCUACAAUGGGUAUCUACAACAGGAAAGCAAGACUGCGAGGUC
Molecule: ribosomal RNA, 352 nt
Filed under: uncultured bacterium
Lineage: Bacteria
Description: bacterial SSU rRNA
Rfam family: Bacterial small subunit ribosomal RNA
Source: RNAcentral